RNAcentral lists this ribosomal RNA (230 nucleotides) under uncultured bacterium. RNAcentral's name for it is "partial 16S ribosomal RNA". It matches the Rfam family "Bacterial small subunit ribosomal RNA", at positions 524 to 753 of the family's 1533-position model. The record is from RNAcentral.
UACAGAGGGUGCGAGCGUUAAUCGGAAUUACUGGGCGUAAAGCGCACGUAGGCGGAUAUUUAAGUCAGGGGUGAAAUCCCAGAGCUCAACUCUGGAACUGCCUUUGAUACUGGGUAUCUUGAGUAUGGAAGAGGUAAGUGGAAUUGCGAGUGUAGAGGUGAAAUUCGUAGAUAUUCGCAGGAACACCAGUGGCGAAGGCGGCUUACUGGUCCAUAACUGACGCUGAGGUG